GGCCCCAGUACCGAGCCCUGGGGGACACCACUAGUGACCGGCCUCCAACCAGAUUUGACUCCAUUCACCACAACUCUCUGGGCCCGGCUAUCCAGCCAGUUUCUAACCCAGCGAAGCGUACGCCAGUACGAUCAUCGAAUCCAACUCCUGGCUCUGCACAGGACCACCUGAAAAUCAGACCAUAUGUCUGAGAGCAUUAUCCAAAUGCUGACUUGUUGCUCUCCCUGGUUUCUGCCAUGGGAGCUCGGCCUGGUGUCCCUGGAUGUCCGCCGGGAGGAGUGGGCCUGGCUCCACCUUGCCCAGCUGGGGCCUGCUCCCUCCCCAUGGCAGCGGCAGGGUGCUGAGCGGCUCUGGAUGGUGCUGGAACAAAAGGGGUGUCAAUGAGAGCUGUCUGCCUCAGGCUGACUCUUUGACAAACAGCAUUUCAAGAAGACUGGGACAAGACUGGGAGCUCGCAGCAGAUGGAAACAGGGACAUGCAACAAAAGAGGAGCAUAGAGGCAUCACUUGUGUGCCUACGGACAAAAUCCAGAAGACCAAAGCCCAGCUGGAGCACAGACUUGAGGCAGACUUUAAGGGUAUCAAGAAGAAAUCCUGCAGGUAUGUUAGCUGAUGAAAGAAAAUCAGGAUAAGUAUGGGUCUGCUCACAGAUCAGGGAGACAACUUAGCCAUGCCUGACACAAAAAAGGCUGAGCUGCUCAAGUACUUGAAGAACAGUCACAGCAAUGAUGGACCCAAAAAUCCCCUUUAGUAGUGCUGGCCCAUAUAUCAAGGGGCAAUGCCCAAAGGCUGUUCAGGAGGAACCUGAGGAACAAAGGGAGUACUGCAGCACAGGAAAGGUGUCAGAGAGGCUCUGGAGGUUUUUGGGACUGAGUUAGACAAAGCCAUGGCUGACCUGACGUGGCUUUGGUGAUAGCUCUGCUGUGCGUGGGAGGGCGGCCUUUGGUUCUGUGGAGCUGCUGGAAGUUGUUGCUGUGACUAUGCCAGAAAAAAGUCCAGUUACUUUCUGAAGUCACUUUUUGAAGUGACUUUUUGAUAUGAGAAGCUUUAGUAUCUCUGUACUUCAGCUUUGAGAAGCGAAAGAGGUUGAAUAUUAUUAGGUCAUGGGUAGAGGACCUAAAGCACUGUCCAUCAAAGCAGCCUUUACUCCUUAGCCCACAAUGAGAACCCAAGAUUUUCUCUUUUGCUGUUCCUCUGCGGUCAGGAGACACGUUCGAAAGCCUCGGGCAAAAUGUCCCAUCUUCCCUGGUGCCAGAGAUGAUGAAACAAACCAGGCUCAGCUCCUGGUCAUGCUUCUGUUUUGAGUGGCAGCAGUCAACUGUGUGUCUGAACUCCGGGUGUGUUUGCACAUAUUUUUCCCCAUUUGACACGUGAAUGUUUCUGACAUGCUCAGAGAUCUGAUAGGGAUGACAGCCUUGAAAAGAACUGGAGGAAACAACUGAUUCUUCCUUCAGAGCAGUAUUAAAUUUUUCUCCAUACAGAAAUAUAAAGGGAAAAACAAAAUAUUGUAUAACUGUUAAGUGAAACCCAGCUGCUCCACACAGUAAAGAAGGCAACAGUCCUUUGGAGGAAAAAAAAAAAGGGGGGGACAUUACAAAGACCAUAUAGUAAAAGAGAGGACCUGCCAGAACU
RNAcentral lists this long non-coding RNA (1631 nucleotides) under Anser brachyrhynchus (Pink-footed goose). RNAcentral describes it as "lncRNA (ENSABRG00000009077.1)". The record is from RNAcentral. Lineage: Eukaryota; Metazoa; Chordata; Aves; Anseriformes; Anatidae.